Rattus norvegicus (Norway rat) is the source of this 3226-nucleotide long non-coding RNA. RefSeq lists it as uncharacterized. Lineage: Eukaryota; Metazoa; Chordata; Mammalia; Rodentia; Muridae. The record is from RefSeq and is a predicted model, not a curated record.
CUGACCCUGCAAAGGAACUGAUAUCUGACAAGCUCACUUCCCACAUUAGUGAGACUGCUAAGACUCUAUGACGUACAUGGUGCGCUUAUAAGAAAGAACAUUCUAAAAAUAGUAUUCUUGUUCAACUCACUAAAUAACUGAUAGAAAAGACAGCAGGUUGCACGCAUCGGUUUUCUCUAACAGCUCACUAAAUGUCAGGAGAAACGGAAAUAUUCCAAAGAAAGAUAGCACUUUCAUUUUUACGAGAUCUGGAGUUUGUCAUUGAAGGCUUUAUUCUGCCUGGGUUCCUUCCUGUGCUGCCUACUCUCCGUUUCCUGGUGCCAUGCUGCGCAGCCACAUACUCCGCCACGAUGAUGGAUUGAACCCUUCGAGUUCAUAAACAAAAUAAACCUUCCUUUCUUGGAUUCCGUCUCAAGCGCUUUGAUGAGAGCCGCACAAAGUUGAGGGAUGUGAUCCAUAACAGUGAAAAUGCCAAUAAUCCACGCAUCCAUCACCGAGAAAAGAAAUAUGUUUGGCAUCUCAGGGUAAUGGCAUUCUGGAAAGAAAAACAAAGACAGGCCUCUAAAACAUCGCAGAGCGAAGUAAGCCGCAUACAAACAAGCAAUUGACAUGAUUCUUCUGGGAGACUGGGCCCGCAUUGCAGUGUAUCUGCUAAGCAGGCCCAGGCAAGCAUUGAAGCAGCUGGUCACAUCUGGAUCCACAGUCAUCAAACAGGAAGUAACAAGUGCUAAUCCUCAUCUCCCUUUCUCCUCUGUAUUAAGUCCAGGGCAUCAGGCUAAGAAAUGGUACCCCCCCCUACAAAGGUGCAUCUCCCUAGACUGAACCUAAUCUGGAUAAUCUCUCAGGUACACCCAUAGGAUUGUUUCCUCAGUAAGUCUCCAUUUCUGUCAAUUUAACAAUGGACAAUUGAAACUACCACAAUUUCCAAUAUACUCAAAACACCCCUUUCUUGCCACAUACUAGCCCUAGGUGUAAUGCCAGAUCACAUAGAAGGAACCCAAGACUAUUGAUUAACUGAAAGAAUGAAUUGAUAGUAUGUCUUUGUCAUACUAGCAUACAGUCUUACUUGACAAUUGCUAAGUCAUGGAAGCUCAAAUUUGAGAACAGCAUUCUUUUCCUUUCUAUAAUCGUUUUAUUUCUAAAAUCAGAAAUAGCAACUCCAGCGUAUGAAUAGAUCCGUUCUGUGGGUGACAGAGACAAAGAAGACUUGGCCAAGAAGACAGCUAAUGAAUAUGACAUGAUUUUCACCACUAGCAUACAAAAUGCCCAGAUCUGGAGUUUGUCAUUGAAGGCUUUAUUCUGCCUGGGUUCCUUCCUGUGCUGCCUACUCUCCGUUUCCUGGUGCCAUGCUGCGCAGCCACAUACUCCGCCACGAUGAUGGAUUGAACCCUUCGAGUUCAUAAACAAAAUAAACCUUCCUUUCUUGGAUUCCGUCUCAAGCGCUUUGAUGAGAGCCGCACAAAGUUGAGGGAUGUGAUCCAUAACAGUGAAAAUGCCAAUAAUCCACGCAUCCAUCACCGAGAAAAGAAAUAUGUUUGGCAUCUCAGGGUAAUGGCAUUCUGGAAAGAAAAACAAAGACAGGCCUCUAAAACAUCGCAGAGCGAAGUAAGCCGCAUACAAACAAGCAAUUGACAUGAUUCUUCUGGGAGACUGGGCCCGCAUUGCAGUGUAUCUGCUAAGCAGGCCCAGGCAAGCAUUGAAGCAGCUGGUCACAUCUGGAUCCACAGUCAUCAAACAGGAAGUAACAAGUGCUAAUCCUCAUCUCCCUUUCUCCUCUGUAUUAAGUCCAGGGCAUCAGGCUAAGAAAUGGUACCCCCCCCUACAAAGGUGCAUCUCCCUAGACUGAACCUAAUCUGGAUAAUCUCUCAGGUACACCCAUAGGAUUGUUUCCUCAGUAAGUCUCCAUUUCUGUCAAUUUAACAAUGGACAAUUGAAACUACCACAAUUUCCAAUAUACUCAAAACACCCCUUUCUUGCCACAUACUAGCCCUAGGUGUAAUGCCAGAUCACAUAGAAGGAACCCAAGACUAUUGAUUAACUGAAAGAAUGAAUUGAUAGUAUGUCUUUGUCAUACUAGCAUACAGUCUUACUUGACAAUUGCUAAGUCAUGGAAGCUCAAAUUUGAGAACAGCAUUCUUUUCCUUUCUAUAAUCGUUUUAUUUCUAAAAUCAGAAAUAGCAACUCCAGCGUAUGAAUAGAUCCGUUCUGUGGGUGACAGAGACAAAGAAGACUUGGCCAAGAAGACAGCUAAUGAAUAUGACAUGAUUUUCACCACUAGCAUACAAAAUGCCCAGGUGAGCCCGGCUAGAUCAAUCCAAUGCCCACCUGUCAUCAUCUGAGCAAGGGUUCUCCAGACCUGACGUGAGAAUGACGUUGGUGAUGACGUGAUUAUAAUCACCAUUUCUAUAAAAUCCAUCCAGUAAUUUCCCAUCUGCUUUAUCUCUUGUUGUAAAUGAGACUACAGGGCAGUCUGUCUUGCACUGGUUAGAACCGAGCACACAAAUGGCUUACUAAUGAGAAGAGGGAAAGGGGGGACAGAUGAAAUAAAUAUUGCUUUGACUCGCUCCCCUUGGGGAUGUCUGCUAUUACCCCCUCUCAGAAUUGACAUUGAAAUGAUCAUUAAAAAUUUAAAAAGCACAGAAAAGAAGGCCUAGACAAGUGAAAUGCUGUCCUGUCCAAUGUCACAUAACACAUUUAUGGAAGAGCUGGGGUUAGAAUCCCUCUUGCCUAACUCCCUGCUCAGGGAUACACAGAAAACUUAGGGGAGAAAAUCCCAAAGUAAUAAAUGCUGAACCACAAUUCAGGGUGCCCCUCCACAGCAGAUUAGAAGAAUCCCCAGUCCCAGAGUGACUGGAGCCCUCUCCUCAGACACUGAUUUUUCCAAGAAGCCCUCACAGUAGAGCAGCGGGAAGGAAUGGAUGUGACAGAAAGAGAAGAUUAAUCUAGGAGGCAGUGUGGGUGCUGAAGAUCACUAACUCCGAAGACAUGUUAUGUCCAGCUCUGUUUACCAUCUUCUGCCCUUGGCCAAGUGCACCUGUGUUACCAUUUCGGUAAAGCAAAGGUGUUCUCCGAAGGCAAGGGCAAAGAAUCACAGUUCAAGGUCACGAAAAGAGCUCGCCCUCCAAAAUGGUUGUAGUGAUACGAUCUAUGCUAAGCACUUACAAAAUAAAGGUGUUGUAAGGGUUAAAUGAACAGAUAUUGACAAAGAGAGCAUUUAGAAUAAUAC